This is an RNA transcript of Lycium barbarum (goji berry), 1124 nucleotides long. RefSeq lists it as uncharacterized. The transcript is spliced from 5 exons. The record is from RefSeq and is a predicted model, not a curated record. NCBI's taxonomy places the organism in Eukaryota, Viridiplantae, Streptophyta, Magnoliopsida, Solanales, Solanaceae.
UUGUCAAUAAAGUUGUUUUGGACGCACUGCUUCUAUGCUUUCUUUUCUUGACAGGAGUUUAUAAGUCAUUUUUGACCCUCACUUUCGACACAUAGAUGGGUGUUUUUUGAUCUCACAGAAUAGGAUAUGUAGGACCAAGAAAUGCAUUAUAGAGAAAAGUACAACAAUUGUGUUGUGUCAUUUAUGAUAAUCUCUUGACAAGCAGAUCGUAAGAAUAGAAACUUUGGAUAGUUAUUCUCUACUUCCUCCUCCUCUAUGAUUGAGGUAUUGAGAGUGCAAACUGCCUCCACCAUAGAAAUAACAGCAGAUGCAAACCUAAGGAGCAAAUGCAAUACUGUGGAUCAUACUGUGGGAGUUAAAGUCUCAGGUCUCAAGAAGUUAAAGAGACUGCUGACAGAUGAAUCUCUGCGGUUACGGAGUGCUUUACGCUACACAACAUAUGGGAAAUCUGGUGUUUUUGAUGCUGAAAGAUUCAUAGAUGCUAUGCAAGCAUUUGAGAAUUUCAUAACUGCAGCUAAGAGUGGAGGUGGGGAGAGUUUGAAUGGAAGAAUGGCAGAGCUUGGCAUUAUGCAAAGUCAAACAAAUAGCAUAAUUCCUUUUCCUUCUUCAAGUGCUUAUCAAACAGAGCAGCCAAUCCAAACAAGAGCAGCAUUAGCAUUUCUGCUCUCUGAUAAAGGGAUUUUUUUUCCGCGAAUUCCUUUUGGAGGAGUCAUUUUUGUUGCAGAUCGUGGUUCAAAUGCUAAUUCAGAUUCACAUGUAGAUUUAUAUCCAGAUGAUUUUAGAUUUGUAAGGAAGUCAAAGUAUGUUGAUGAAGAAAGGGAAGAGAAUUCGAAAAAGCUGAAGGAGAAUAUCAGCUCAAUAUUAAAGAAGUUGUUGAGUUCAUAUUGUCAACAGCUGAGGAUGAUGAAUAAGCUGACAACGAUGAGGACUUGGAACUCUUGGAAAGAUCUAUAAUCUGACAUAGAUGAUGAUGGAACAAAUUAGGUACCAUUUCCAUCUCAUAAAUUGGCUAUGACGUGUCAGCUGUCCUUUGCAGAAUCCAAACUCAAGUCCCCGUGUCGCAAUAUAUCUAUAUAAGAAUAGCUGCCUCUGAAUUAGGCCUAACCUUAAACUCAACUCUGCUA